ACAAACUUGGUCAUUUAGAGGAAGUAAAAGUCGUAACAAGGUUUCCGUAGGUGAACCUGCGGAAGGAUCAUUAUUGAAAUCUCAUGGGAAAGCGUGGAGGGGGAAGCGGAGCGGGCGAAGUUUGGUAGGAGGUUGUCGCUGGCCCUCGGGCAUGUGCACGCCUUUGCCCUAGUCCCCGUUUCGUCUCUCUUUUCAUGUGGACCCGUUCUCUCACACACCCGUGCACCCGUUGUAGGCUUUCCUCGAGAGGGGAACAGUCUAUGUCUUUCAUAAACCCGUCUGUAUGUCUAUAGAAUGUCUAUGUUGACGUCGACCGGCUCGACCGGCCGACGGUAAACGAAACUAUGAACAACUUUCAGCAACGGAUCUCUUGGCUCUCGCAUCGAUGAAGAACGCAGC
This 399-nucleotide unclassified non-coding RNA is filed under the name uncultured fungus. RNAcentral describes it as "partial contains small subunit ribosomal RNA, internal transcribed spacer 1, and 5.8S ribosomal RNA". The stretch from base 1 to 73 matches the Rfam family "Eukaryotic small subunit ribosomal RNA", at positions 1759 to 1831 of the family's 1831-position model. Lineage: Eukaryota; Fungi. The record is from RNAcentral.